RNA transcript from Gossypium arboreum, 2804 nucleotides. It is a transcript of the gene named protein SET DOMAIN GROUP 40-like, with no coding region annotated. NCBI's taxonomy places the organism in Eukaryota, Viridiplantae, Streptophyta, Magnoliopsida, Malvales, Malvaceae. The transcript is spliced from 4 exons. The record is from RefSeq and is a predicted model, not a curated record.
UGCUUCUUAAAGUUCCAAAAUCUGCCUUAAUCACAACUGACUCUCUUCUUUCAAGAGAUGAAACUUUGUCUCUUGCACUCAAAGCCCAUCUUUCUCACUCUUCUACCCAGGUGGAUUAUGCCAUCUGGGCUGCUCAAAAAGCUGUCACAAAAGCUAAAUACGAAUGGGAACAAGCCUUCACUCUCAUGAAGGAACUUAAGCUUAAGCCUCCACUUCUCACUUUCAGGGCUUGGAUUUGGGCUCCUGGGACUGUAAGUUCACAGUGUUUAUGCUUCUCUGGGUUUUUCUUUUUUGGUUUUUAUUUAUGUUGGACAACUUCAACUUAGACUGUUAUGCACAUUUCACACGCAUGCGUAUGGAUAAAUGUCUGGAUAAACAAGCAUACAUGGGUUCCUAAUUUAUCUUCUCGUGUCUCUACUUAACAUUUUUCUACAUAUCAUUGCUUUGAAAAAGGUUCAGAUUAUUGCUCAGGACAAAAUACCGCAGACUUCCAGAAAUAUAUGUUAUUUAUGCAAACAUUUCUUAGUAAGAUGAGAUCAAAAUUUUGGAGUGUCAAACAAAUAAUACUAUUUGAAAAGUUCAGAAUUGGAACAGACUGCUGCUUUAACGUAUCUGUAUGGAUGGUUACGACAUCACCCAAAGAAAAGUCUUAUCAGUACAUUCUUCUCUAAUAAUUAUAUAUAUACAUAUUUGUUUCUAUAACUAUUUGAUCAAAUUAAGCGAUGGAUAACAGCUGCAGCUUCAUAUCAUGCAACAAGCUAGAUCAUAUGGCUACCUUUUUUUUUCUGUUGUAUAUAUGUGAAGUAUGUUUCUAGGUUAAUUGCGAAUCAAUUCGUGUACACUUUGGCUUAUGAUUUGGUGUCAAUUGUUUUUUUUUUAAUGGUGAUUUCAAUGGAAUUUAUGAAUUUCAUUCUCAUUUUUGGCUUUCUUUUUGUUUGGAUAAUUCAAGGAUGACACAACUUGACGAUUUUCAACUCAUUUGCAGAUGCAUCGUAAUAUUCUGAUUUCAUUGGAGUUAUGAUAUUUAACUUUAGGAACAAAUUCAUGAAUAUCGACUGCGAUAAAGUGAAUUAAUUUUUACUGUUGUUUUUCUUUAACUAAAGAAUACUGCUUAUUUUAUUUUAUUUUUUAGAAAAACAAAUGCUAUUUUUAACUGAAUUAUUGAAUGCAUGAUGCCGUUGACUAGUACAGUUACAUUUAUGUUCAGCGUUAAUGAAUUGCAUUCUUGAUGUGUCCCUUUGGCAUAUGUAUAUAUAUAAUUAUGCAUAUGUAAAUACACUAGGGUAUAAUUCUUUGUUUUUUUGGUUAGUUUUUUUCUUUUGGAACAAUGACUUGAUAUUGCAAUCUUGGUUUGAGUGUAAGCUGCUUCCUCUAAUGUUACUGUGGGAUAGUUUGCUUAUGUUGUGAAUGCUGUGAUUACAAGAGUGUCUUUUUGUAUAUGAUUUCCAUGACUGCAGUGAUUAUAUUUGGGACUUAGAGUUUUACAUAUGGUGAUAGGAUAUAAUUUUCCUCAAGAAUACUAGAAGCUUAUCCCUAACAUUACAUUUUGGAAAUGUUAUUGUUAUAUUCUGGUGUUAAUCAAAGUCUUUUCUGCCAUACAAGUGAUAACCCAACAUGUCAAUCUUCUGUGUGCCAAACUCAUAUGGGUUGCAUCAUAUUUUCCUCUAUUUAUCUUCUUUCUUAUCUUUCAAUGGUAAAGUGAUACAUUGGUGUGUUAUACAGCUCUCUUAUAGGGUUGAAUUAUUUACUUGCUCCAUCUUUGUAACCUUAUGCUGCUAAAAAGAUGCUCCAAAUAACAUGUUGCACCUAGUUGGACCUUAGAAGACAAACUAGCUCUUCUAUUCAGCUCCAUGUAAUUAGUUAUUUGAUUUGUUGAAGCUAUUGGUUGAUUUAGAUGAUUUGAUUGUAACAGCAAAAUUUUUCAGUGGUGUCGGAAACAGUGAUUCGAGAUCACUAAAUUCGACGAGUAAGUUUAGAAAUUUUAACAAAUAAUAAUUAUAGGCCAAGCGCGAACUUAAAAUAAUUAUUUUUAAUUAGUGAAUUUUGCGAUUUUAAAAGAAUUAAUCAAGUAAAUUUGGUUGAAAACGAGGUAUCGAGACUUCGGAUUUAUAAACCGAGCCAUAAAUAUUUUUAUAAAUAUUUAUGGAGUGUUACUAAGUUAGUAUUAAAGUUUCGUUAGAAAAUUUUAACGUUUGGUUAGUCAAUUAAUUAAAAAGGAAUAAAUUGAAAAUAGUGCAAAAUUUAUUAAAUUGUGAUUAAAUAGUUUAAGUGAUUAAAAAGGAGGGAUUUAAAAAGUAAUUGGACCCAAAUUGUACGGGCUGGACGCUUGGGGCAAGAAAAUCAGCAAAAAAGACAAGGAGAAACAAGGGCAAAAUGGGAAAUUUUACAAAUUAAACAUAUAAAACAAGACAAAUUUGAAAAAUCUAGAGAUCUCAUCAUUUUUCUUCAGCAAAAACGCCAUGGGAGGUCUGAAAGCUGCUGGUUUUUCAUACUUUGACAUAUGCACUAGAUUUGAAGCCAAACUAUGUGCGUGCUUGGGCAAACAUGGGUAUCAGUUACGCCAACCAGGUUUGAGUUUUUGUUGGAUGCAUGGUCCAGGAUUAGCUGAAUUCAUGCAUAGUGACGACUUGUUUGAGCUAAUUGCUGAUCUUAAAGUGUACAUUCUAUCAUUAUUUUGUUCUAUUUGUAUUUUGUUAGAUUUCUGGUGUAGUAUGAUAAGUCCGAUAUUUUGUUUGAUUGUUAUUGAUAAACUUUUUAUUUGGUGGGAUAUAUAUUUAUAUCAUAGAUGUUAUUCUUCUUUUCAA